GACGAACGCUGGCGGCGUGCCUAAUACAUGCAAGUCGAACGAGAGCGCCCGGUGCUUGCACUGGUCAAUCUAGUGGCGAACGGGUGGGUAACACGUGGGUAACCUGCCCAUCAGAGGGGGAUAACAUCCGGAAACGGAUGCUAAAACCGCAUAGGUCUUCGAGCCGCAUGGCUUGAAGAGGAAAAGAGGCGCAAGCUUCUGCUGAUGGAUGGACCCGCGGUGCAUUAGCUAGUUGGUGAGGUAACGGCUCACCAAGGCCGUGAUGCAUAGCCGACCUGAGAGGGUGAUCGGCCACAUUGGGACUGAGACACGGCCCAAACUCCUACGGGAGGCAGCAGUAGGGAAUCUUCCGCAAUGGACGCAAGUCUGACGGAGCAACGCCGCGUGAGUGAAGAAGGUUUUCGGAUCGUAAAACUCUGUUGUUAGAGAAGAACAAGUGCUAGAGUAACUGUUAGCGCCUUGACGGUAUCUAACCAGAAAGCCACGGCUAACUACGUG
RNAcentral lists this ribosomal RNA (498 nucleotides) under uncultured bacterium. RNAcentral's name for it is "partial 16S ribosomal RNA". It matches the Rfam family "Bacterial small subunit ribosomal RNA", at positions 28 to 507 of the family's 1533-position model. The record is from RNAcentral.